AAUAGAUACCCCGGUAGUCCACCCCGUAAACGUUGGGACUAGUUGUGGGGUCCUUUCCACGGAUUCCGUGACGCAGCUAACGCAUUAAGUUCCCCGCCUGGGGAGUACGGCCGCAAGGCUAAAACUCAAAGGAAUUGACGGGGACCCGCACAAGCGGCGGAGCAUGCGGAUUAAUUCGAUGCAACGCGAAGAACCUUACCAAGGCUUGACAUACACCGGAAACGGCCAGAGAUGGUCGCCCCGCAAGGUCGGUGUACAGGUGGUGCAUGGUUGUCGUCAGCUCGUGUCGUGAGAUGUUGGGUUAAGUCCCGCAACGAGCGCAACCCUCGUUCUAUGUUGCCAGCACGUCAUGGUGGGAACUCAUGGGAUACUGCCGGGGUCAACUCGGAGGAAGGUGGGGAUGACGUCAAAUCAUCAUGCCCCUUUAUGUCUUGGGUCUUCACGCAUGCUACAAUGGCCGGUACAAAGGGCUGCAAUACCGUGAGGUGGAGCGAAUCCCAAAAGCCGGUCCCAGUUCGGAUUGAGGUCUGCAACUCGACCUCA
This 543-nucleotide ribosomal RNA is filed under the name uncultured bacterium. Its description in RNAcentral is "bacterial SSU rRNA". It matches the Rfam family "Bacterial small subunit ribosomal RNA", at positions 777 to 1320 of the family's 1533-position model. The record is from RNAcentral.